UGGGGAGUCUUGCGCAAUGGACGAAAGUCUGACGCAGCCACGCCGCGUGAGUGAAGAAGGCCUUCGGGUUGUAAAGCUCUGUCGGACGGGACGAAAGGUGUACGGUUAAUACCCGUGCAUUUUGACGGUACCGUUAAAGGAAGCACCGGCUAACUUCGUGCCAGCAGCCGCGGUAAUACGAAGGGUGCAAGCGUUGCUCGGAAUUAUUGGGCGUAAAGGGCAGGUAGGUUGUCUUAUUUGUCUGGGGUGAAAGCCCAGGGCUUAACCCUGGAAGUGCCCCGGAAACGGUAGGACUAGAGUCUCAGAGAGGGUCGCGGAAUUCCCGGUGUAGCGGUGAAAUGCGUAGAGAUCGGGAGGAACACCAGAGGCGAAAGCGGCGGCCUGGAUGAGUACUGACACU
Molecule: ribosomal RNA, 400 nt
Filed under: uncultured bacterium
Lineage: Bacteria
Description: bacterial SSU rRNA
Rfam family: Bacterial small subunit ribosomal RNA
Source: RNAcentral